GCUGCGUGGCGCGUGCGCAGGCGCGUGCGCGCCGCGGUGCCGUAGCGGCGGCUGCUGGCGAGGGUCGCGCGCCGCGUCUCCUUUUCGCUCCCUGUGGCGUGACGCCCCCUCAGCCUCGUUCGGGAUCCGUUUCCCUUGCCGGAGCCCGGCGGCGGCGAGCACUCCAGUUGGUGAGCUCCUAAGUUAUUUCUCAACUGAACUGUUCUUUUAAGGUAAGAUUCUCAGGGUGCCUUCCCUCCUCACCAUCCCCCAUUCCGUAUCUGUGCCAUUAUAAUACU
RNAcentral lists this long non-coding RNA (278 nucleotides) under Dasypus novemcinctus (nine-banded armadillo). RNAcentral's name for it is "lncRNA (ENSDNOG00000049916.1)". Lineage: Eukaryota; Metazoa; Chordata; Mammalia; Cingulata; Dasypodidae. The record is from RNAcentral.